AACGCACAUUGCGCCCGCCAGUAUUCUGGCGGGCAUGCCUGUUCGAGCGUCAUUUCAACCAUCAAGCCCCAGGCUUGUGUUGGGGGCCUGCGGCUGCCGCAGCCCCCUAAAAGCAGUGGCGGGCUCGCUGUCAUUCCGAGCGUAGUAGUUAUAUCUCGCUCUGGGCGUGGCGGCGGGUACCUGCCGUAAAACACUCCUUCUAAGGUUGACCUCGGAUCAGGUAGGAAUACCCGCUGAACUUAA
RNAcentral lists this unclassified non-coding RNA (243 nucleotides) under uncultured Ascomycota. RNAcentral's name for it is "sequence contains 5.8S rRNA gene, ITS2, 28S rRNA gene". The stretch from base 1 to 52 matches the Rfam family "5.8S ribosomal RNA", at positions 103 to 154 of the family's 154-position model. Lineage: Eukaryota; Fungi; Ascomycota. The record is from RNAcentral.